AGGCCAGACAGAUAAUUCUGGGUCAUUUCAGGCCUGAGACCUCAACCAUGGUGUGGCAGAAGCAUUCUGGAAAAAGUGUGAAGCUUUGCUGAGGUAAAAUACAUUCAAUAGAUUUCAUUGAUGUCACUGUUGCUACUUCAAAAUGAUUCUCCUUGAAUCUGAUUGCCCUGGAGGACUUCAAGGUCUUAGCCAAGGCCUGGCUCGCUGCCUUUCCUUAAGGGAGCACCAGCAGUGCCAUCUCCCUUCCACUGGUUAUCUUGUAGUUAGUUCCGUGGGCUAAUUACCUCUCUUGAAAAUAUCUGGGAAAGAAAUGCCUCAGUUCUGUCUGUUUUACUGGGGAUUAGCACUGAUUUAAUUAAAUUUGUUUGCAUUUCUAGCAUUUCACAGGCCACAUUCCACAAGGGGAAUCAAGACUUUUCUGCACUCUGGCUUCACUUGAGUUUCUCACUGAGAUGUGACACUUUGGAACUGCAUUUAAUCUGAAUCGUGUCUAUGCCUAUAAUAAAUUACUGCUUUUACAAUCCACUGUAGCAGGGGAGUAGCUCUGGAAGCACCAAAGCUUUGAAGGAGUGCUUAGACACUGGUCCAGCUGGGUUGCUUGGUUCCUGUUAAAGAAGGAUUUAGCCUGAACUGUUGGAAUGUUUAAGCAAUAUGACUUGGAAGCAAUUUAGCUGAGUUUGUUAUGGUAAACCUCUCAUUUGUUAGAUCUAUAAAAAGUCUGCAUAUUUUUCUUGUAAUCAGAGAUUUUCAAUAACAUAUACACAGGUUAUAUAAAUACAUUGAAGGAAAAUUCAUUAGACAAAUGUUUCUCUUCUAGCAUGGAUAGACGUGAUUUCAAUAAUUUUUUGAGUUUCAAGCCCUGGAAAAGUUCUUGGCUUCAGGCUGUUUAUUUUCUUGCAUUAUACAUUCAAGGGCCAGCACUUUAAAAUCCUCAGAUAUGUCCCAUUCUCCUGUUCUGGUUAGGAGGCAAGAAGCCAUGUCAAAAGAAAUGUCAUCAGGAAAGGUAUCAUUAUGGAUAUUUGCAGAGACCUGGAUACUUUCAUAAAAUCUCAUUUGAACAAUGCAGAAAUAUAAAAGUGAAGAUGAAGCUGGGUGAACUAAAGAUGUGUAUGCCUGUAGCCUUCAUUAAAAAGGUACAUAUUUAUUUAAAGUGUUUUUUUGGCCUCAUUUCCCUAGUAUCUGAUUGUUUCUUAGCUAGUGA
This 1201-nucleotide long non-coding RNA is filed under the name Cyanistes caeruleus (blue tit). Its description in RNAcentral is "lncRNA (ENSCCEG00000020009.1)". Lineage: Eukaryota; Metazoa; Chordata; Aves; Passeriformes; Paridae. The record is from RNAcentral.